AUUGCUUCUCGGCCUUUUGGCUAAGAUCAAGUGUAGUAUCUGAUAUCAGAGGCUUAGAUGGCACCAUCCCUCCAUCUUUCUGCCUGUAAAAUAUAUCUCUUCCAGGCUGAUUCUAU
This is a small nuclear RNA of Rattus norvegicus (Norway rat), 116 nucleotides long. Ensembl annotates it as U2 spliceosomal RNA. Lineage: Eukaryota; Metazoa; Chordata; Mammalia; Rodentia; Muridae. The record is from Ensembl.